AGUGAACGCUGGCGGUAGGCCUAACACAUGCAAGUCGAACGGCUGCACAGUAAUAGCUUGCUCUUACGGGUGGCGACUGGCGGACGAGUGAGGAGUACAUCGGUGUCUACUUUUUCGUGGGUGAGAACGUAGGGAAACUUACGCUAAUACCUCAUACGACCUAAGGGUGAAAUCAGGGGAUCUUCGGACCUUGCGCUAUGUCAUGUACCGAUGUCUGAUUAGUUAGUUGGCGGGGUAAAGGCCCACCAAGGCGACGAUGCGUAGCUGGUCUGAGAGGAUGAUCAGCCACACUGGAACUGAGACACGGUCCAGACUCCUACGGGAGGCAGCAGUGGGGAAUAUUGGACAAUGGGCGAAAGCCUGAUCCAGCCAUACCGCGUGGGUGAAGAAGGCCUUCGGGUUGUAAAGCCCUUUUGUUGGGAAAGAAAAGCAGCAGGUUAAUACCCCGCUGUUCUGACGGUACCAAAAGAAUAAGCACCGGCUAACUUCGUG
RNAcentral lists this ribosomal RNA (492 nucleotides) under uncultured bacterium. Its description in RNAcentral is "partial 16S ribosomal RNA". It matches the Rfam family "Bacterial small subunit ribosomal RNA", at positions 29 to 507 of the family's 1533-position model. The record is from RNAcentral.